RNAcentral lists this long non-coding RNA (2094 nucleotides) under Phasianus colchicus (ring-necked pheasant). RNAcentral's name for it is "lncRNA (ENSPCLG00000019656.1)". The record is from RNAcentral. Lineage: Eukaryota; Metazoa; Chordata; Aves; Galliformes; Phasianidae.
CAGGAAUGGGAAGAAAACUGUCCUAGGAUGUGAGGUAGCAUGGACUGUGCACUAUUGUCCCCUUACCCUCUGUAGAGGAAAUGCUAAAUCAUGGCCUGAAGCAGGGAUUGAGCACCUGGUGGGAAGACAGGGCCAACCCAGGGAAGCUCAGGUGCAAGCAAUGCACCUGAGUGACUGGAAAGGGUGGAGCCAGGAUCCACCCCUUUCCAGACCUCAUUUAAAGAUAUUUCUUGCUAGAGAUUCCUGUCUACCUGAGGCCAAUUCAGAAGUAAGUAGCUCUUUUCCUUCAUUUCUGUGUCUGUAGCUGCUGUGUUCGGGUUCAUUCUCAUUUGCUGUAGCCAUCCUGCUAUUAUCAUCUAAUUAUAGCAUUACACCCUUGUAACAUUUUUCCAUGGCCAAGUAUGAGGACAAAACAAUAUCAGACUUUGUUCAUAUUAAAUUUGUUGAAGUUGUCUUUCUCCUUCUGGGCAUUCCCAUGUGCUUUCCUACACAGAUACAACACUGUUCAUCAGCAGUGCUGCCAUUGACAGAGGUUGGCUUCUUGAUCUUGGGACAGAUUCUUUAGUAUGGCCUGUUGUGAAAAGGCUAGGGGAAAUGAUUUCAAACUAAAAGAGGGGAGAUUUAAACUGGGUAUAGGGAAAGAGUUUUUUUUAUGAUGAGUGUAGUGAAGCACUGGAACAAGAAGUGGUAGAUGCUCUAUCCCUGAAGACAUUCAAGAUCAGGCUGGAGCAGACCCUGAGUAACCUGAUCUAGCUGUAAAUGUCCCUGUUCAUUGAAGGGGUUUGGACUAGAUGAUCUUUAAAGGUCCCUUCCAACUCAAUGAAUUCUAUGAUUCUGUGACCUAAUGAGAAUGUUGUAGACCUCACAAAAGGACACAAGCAGAGCACAGGACAUGUAGUCAGGCAUAGAGAUCAAUCAGUCUCACCCCAUUCCUCAUGCACUUCUGAGAAUGGUUUCUCUGCACAUGUGUAGUUCCACCUCUUCCCUCAGUGUGGCCAUGCCAUCUGCUUGGACCUAUACCUCACCUCUCCGCACCUAGGCCUGACGGGGAAAAAAAGAUCCCUGCAUUUCCUCCUCUUGAUUCCCUCAUGCAGGCUGUCAACAGCCUCGACUUUUCAGACCUCCUACCUCGCACGGCCAAAGGACUCGCAGGAGUCACGCGUCUCCCGAGAGGACCUGGCACUAGAGGGCGAUGCCGACAUGCGCUUCUGCCGGUGUCUCCACAAUUCGUUAGCAAAAGCAGAGGAAUCAGAUGUUAAUGAUGAAGUUUGUGAAAUAAGGCAAGUGGUAGGUUAUCACUUCAUUACAUGGUGCUUGAUUCUGGAACAAGAGGAAUUAGCCUUAAACAUCAUCCCAGAGACUGAAGCAUAUGGGGUUUAACAGCUACACUAGCAACAACACAUCCAUACUGCACAUAUGGCACAAUGAUGUGAGCAGCACAGAGCUAGGACACCAUCAAGGAAGAUGAAGAGUGGUUUCAUUUAAUCAUGAACACAUAAAGACAUGAACAGCAGGACUGAAAUAUAAAAUGUUUGGGUAGAAACUUCUGUGGGAAGGCUGUAUCUUUGCUAGUCCUCACUACACUGAACAGAGAAUGAGGAGAAAAAACACUUGGGCUUUCUGGGGAUGCUGACCUCCUGCUCUUGUAAGACUGGAGAAAAAAAAACUACAAAAGAGAAUGCAAAGCAAGAUCAUCUCUGAACACAUUACAAUUGCUGCUUUACCUAGAUGCUGAAUUCAGGCCUGCAGUUUUGCAAUGUGCAAUUUGUUCUCCCACAAUAACAUUUGUUACUGAGAUCAUGUUUGGAAGAAUGAAUGUUUUUGAAUGGGAAAUGGGCAAGAAAAUUCCUCUAGCUCCAGAACUGAAUCAGAAAGAAGUGAUAUAGACUUUCUGCAGAAACAGAAAGGUACUUUGCAGAAAGAGAGCACCUAAUUACCAGAUUUACUUCUAAUGUAUUGAGCAGAUUUAGGGAAAUCAUGCAGUGUGAAAUUUCAGCUGAUUCUGCUCUCUUGUCCUAUGCAAGAGCAAGAUCUUCAAAUGAAGCCAUUCAAAACUUAUUUCAAAUGUAAUAAAAAGUGGUUAUUCUUUAUCCA